CGUGCCAAAACCUCCAUCUCCAAGUUCCUUGGCAGAAUCAAAAUUGUUAGUGGCCUCUUCAAGCUCAGAAUAGCUAAAGAGAUGGACCGCAAAGUAAUGCUCUCCUUUCUCAAUAUCUGACUUUGAGAAGUCUGAUGUGGUGCUUUUAGAGACAAAGGAAGAUGGAGCAUAUGGUUUUCUCCUGCGACGUAGAUAGAUGAAGACAAUUACACAGGCUAUGACUCCACCAAGAAAAGCCCCAACACCUAUACCAACUUUAGCUGGCACAUUCGGAUUAUUGUCGUCAUCACAGGAAUUAAGAUGAGUCCGAUCAUGACAAAAACAAACAAAUUCA
RNAcentral lists this unclassified non-coding RNA (334 nucleotides) under Hevea brasiliensis (rubber tree). The record is from RNAcentral. Lineage: Eukaryota; Viridiplantae; Streptophyta; Magnoliopsida; Malpighiales; Euphorbiaceae.